AGAGUUUGAUCCUGGCUCAGGAUGAACGCUAGCGGCGUGCCUAACGCAUGUAAGUCGAACGUGAUCCCUUGGAUUUAUCUAGGGGUGAAAGUGGCGCACGGGUGAGUAACACGUGGGCGACCUGCCUCAGAGAGGGGGAUAACCAUUGGAAACGAUGGCUAAUACCCCAUGCUAUCUCAAACCUUUAAAUGGUUGGGAUGAAAGCUCCGGCGCUCUGAGAGGGGCCUGCGGCCCAUCAGCUUGUUGGUAGGGUAACGGCCUACCAAGGCUAUAACGGGUAGGGGACCUGAGAGGGUGACCCCCCACACUGGUACUGAGACACGGACCAGACUCCUACGGGAGGCAGCAGCGAGGAAUAUUGCGCAAUGAGCGAAAGCUAGACGCAGCAACGCCGCGUGGAUGAUGAAGGCCUUCGGGUCGUAAAAUCCUUUUCUGGGGAAAUAGAAAGGAAGGUACCCCAGGAAUAAGAGUCGGCUAACUACGUGCCAGCAGCCGCGGUAAAACGUAGGACUCGAGCGUUAUCCGAAUUUAUUGGGCGUAAAGCGCGUGUAGGCUGUUUGAUAAGUUGGACGUUAAAGCUCCCGGCUCAACUGGGAGAGGCCGUUCAAAACUAUCAGACUUGAGGACAGCAGAGGGGAGUAGAAUUCCGGGUGUAGUGGUGAAAUGCGUAGAUAUCCGGAGGAAUACCAGUGGCGAAGGCGGCUCCCUGGGCUGUUUCUGACGCUAAGACGCGAAAGCAUGGGUAGCGAACGGGAUUAGAAACCCCGGUAGUCCAUGCCGUAAACGAUGGAUACUGGGUGUUGGGGGUAACCAUUCCUUCAGCGCCGAAGCUAACGCGUUAAGUAUCCCGCCUGGGGACUACGGUCGCAAGACUAAAACUCAAAGGAAUUGACGGGGGCCCGCACAAGCAGCGGAGCGUGUGGUUUAAUUCGAGUCUACACGAAGAACCUUACCUGGGUUUGACAUAUUGGUGGUAGGAAGCCGAAAGGCAACUGACCCUUCGGGGAGCCAUUACAGGUGCUGCAUGGCUGUCGUCAGCUCGUGCCGUGAGGUGUUCGGUUAAGUCCGGUAACGAGCGCAACCCUCGCCAUUAGUUACAAGUGUCUAAUGGGACUGCCGGCAAAAAGCCGGGGGAAGGUGGGGAUGAUGUCAAGUCAGCAUGGCCUUUAUAUCCAGGGCUACACACACGCUACAAUGGCCGGUACAAUGGGUAGCCAAGCCGCGAGGCGGAGCCAAUCCUCUAAAGCCGGUCUCAGUUCAGAUUGUAGGCUGCAACUCGCCUACAUGAAGUCGGAGUUGCUAGUAAACGCAGGUCAGCUAUACUGCGUUGAAUACGUUCCCGGGCCUUGUACACACCGCCCGUCACGUCAUGGAAGCUGGUCACGCCUGAAGUCAGUGAGUUAACCUAACGGAGACAACUGCCCAAGGCAGGGCCGGUGACUGGGACGAAGUCGUAACAAGGUA
This 1464-nucleotide ribosomal RNA is filed under the name metagenome. RNAcentral describes it as "bacterial SSU rRNA". It matches the Rfam family "Bacterial small subunit ribosomal RNA". The record is from RNAcentral.